GGAGAGGGCUAGCGUUAUUCGGAAUUAUUGGGCGUAAAGGGCGCGUAGGCGGAUUAGUAAGUUAAAAGUGAAAUCCCAAGGCUCAACCUUGGAAUUGCUUUUAAAACUGCUAAUCUAGAGAUUGAAAGAGGAUAGAGGAAUUCCUAGUGUAGAGGUGAAAUUCGUAAAUAUUAGGAGGAACACCAGUGGCGAAGGCGUCUAUCUGGUUCAAAUCUGACGCUGAGGCGCGAAGGCGUGGGGAGCAAACAGGAUUAGAUACCCUGGUAGUCCACGCCCUAAACGAUGCGAACUGGAUGUUGGGUGCAAUUUGGCACGCAGUAUCGAAGCUAACGCGUUAAGUUCGCCGCCUGGGGAGUACGGUCGCAAGACUGAAACUCAAAGGAAUUGACGGGGGCCCGCACAAGCGGUGGAGUAUGUGGUUUAAUUCGAUGCAACGCGAAGAACCUUACCUGGCCUUGACAUGUCGAGAACUUUCCAGAGAUGGAUGGGUGCCUUCGGGAACUCGAACACAGGUGC
Molecule: ribosomal RNA, 516 nt
Filed under: bacterium symbiont of Megymenum gracilicorne
Lineage: Bacteria
Description: bacterial SSU rRNA
Rfam family: Bacterial small subunit ribosomal RNA
Source: RNAcentral